This 378-nucleotide ribosomal RNA is filed under the name Leptocimex duplicatus. RNAcentral describes it as "partial 16S ribosomal RNA". The record is from RNAcentral. Lineage: Eukaryota; Metazoa; Arthropoda; Insecta; Hemiptera; Cimicidae.
UCCUUUAGUUUUUAUUUAAGGUCUAACCUGCCCUAUGAGUUUUAAAUGGCCGCAGUAUUCUGACUGUGCGAAGGUAGCAUAAUAAUUUGUCUUUUAAUUGAGGACUUGAAUGAAAGGUUGGACGAAGAACUAACUUUCUUUGUCUUAUUGUAGUGAAUUUUAUUUUCUUGUGAGAAAGCAUGGAUUUGCUUAGGGGACGAUAAGACCCUAUAAAACUUUACUUUUUAGGUGAUAAUGAUUGGUUUAGGUUUUUAUUUUUGUUUUUUUCUGAAAAGUUUUGUUGGGGAGACAGGUAAAUUUAUCAAACUUUAUCUUUUUUUUUCAUUAAUGCAUGAAUUAGUGAUCCGGAUUUUCCGAUUAUAAGAUUAAGUUACUUUA